CGUCGAAAUCUUCUUUAUUGUAAGAAAAUCUUGAUCAUCAUUCAAACAAUGCUUGCUAUCUUAAGUGGACAAGGGAAUUUAGUGUCUAGCAAAGGAAUCAAGCUUGGGCUUUAUUUCUCUAGCUCUAUAUACGCAUAGGACAAGGGUAAAGUAUAUUGACAAUCCCUAAACUUGAGAGAAGGUGCCAUUCAUAUCCUAAUUUUUCAUUUUUUUUAUUUUUGAGUCCCUAAACUUGUCAUGGGAUCUGGUAUUAGUUCAAAUUGGUUUCGAUCUACUGCAUAUGCUGACAUGGCAUGCAAACUAAUGUUAACAUGAAUCUAACAUGGUGGGUCUAGUUUCUAAACUUGCAUGGCGGCACCAUCUAGGUCUAAAACUUCCAAAAUUAUACAUAUGUAAGUCCCCCAAACUUGCUAAAUAGGCCACUCAAGGUACCAAAAAUCAAAAGAUGGUUCCAUCU
This 457-nucleotide long non-coding RNA is filed under the name Sorghum bicolor (sorghum). RNAcentral's name for it is "long non-coding RNA (SBIC_LNC017004)". Lineage: Eukaryota; Viridiplantae; Streptophyta; Magnoliopsida; Poales; Poaceae. The record is from RNAcentral.